Long non-coding RNA from Zerene cesonia (dogface butterfly), 443 nucleotides. RefSeq lists it as uncharacterized. Lineage: Eukaryota; Metazoa; Arthropoda; Insecta; Lepidoptera; Pieridae. The transcript has 3 exons. The record is from RefSeq and is a predicted model, not a curated record.
ACGUGCACGCGGCGUUAGCAAAAUUUAAUGAAAUGCUGUUGUUUUACCAUAAAGUAUUAAUUAAAAUAGCUUUCAAAAUACGCGGUGCACCGUUACACUAAUGAAUAUUUCGUUUAAAAUGUGGAAUAUACGUUUUUCGAACGCUUUAUGGGCGUAAAGUUUUGAAAAUAGUGUCCUUGGUUGAAAUCGGUUUGCUGUUUACAAAUGUGAGCAUCUAACACAAUGAUCUCAAACACGCUUCGGAUAGAUAAUUCGUCGCACUGUACCACGCCAUCAGAUAGAAACGGCCCACAACUGGUGCCUGUCAAAGUCGGUUGUAUGCAUAUUAACCUUGCUACCGAGCGCGGUCGGAAGAUAUUUCUCCUGCAAAUGUUGGUACUCUGUUUCGUGCCACAUGCGGCGCUCGUUUUACAGAACUGCACAAUUAUGGCCCAUCUUUCGCA